This 850-nucleotide ribosomal RNA is filed under the name Bacillus safensis. RNAcentral describes it as "bacterial SSU rRNA". It matches the Rfam family "Bacterial small subunit ribosomal RNA", at positions 604 to 1452 of the family's 1533-position model. Lineage: Bacteria; Bacillati; Bacillota; Bacilli; Caryophanales; Bacillaceae. The record is from RNAcentral.
CCGGCUCAACCCGGGGAGGGUCAUUGGAAACUGGGAAACUUGAGUGCAGAAGAGGAGAGUGGAAUUCCACGUGUAGCGGUGAAAUGCGUAGAGAUGUGGAGGAACACCAGUGGCGAAGGCGACUCUCUGGUCUGUAACUGACGCUGAGGAGCGAAAGCGUGGGGAGCGAACAGGAUUAGAUACCCUGGUAGUCCACGCCGUAAACGAUGAGUGCUAAGUGUUAGGGGGUUUCCGCCCCUUAGUGCUGCAGCUAACGCAUUAAGCACUCCGCCUGGGGAGUACGGUCGCAAGACUGAAACUCAAAGGAAUUGACGGGGGCCCGCACAAGCCCUGGAGCAUGUGGUUUAAUUCGAAGCAACGCGAAGAACCUUACCAGGUCUUGACAUCCUCUGACAACCCUAGAGAUAGGGCUUUCCCUUCGGGGACAGAGUGACAGGUGGUGCAUGGUUGUCGUCAGCUCGUGUCGUGAGAUGUUGGGUUAAGUCCCGCAACGAGCGCAACCCUUGAUCUUAGUUGCCAGCAUUUAGUUGGGCACUCUAAGGUGACUGCCGGUGACAAACCGGAGGAAGGUGGGGAUGACGUCAAAUCAUCAUGCCCCUUAUGACCUGGGCUACACACGUGCUACAAUGGACAGAACAAAGGGCUGCAAGACCGCAAGGUUUAGCCAAUCCCAUAAAUCUGUUCUCAGUUCGGAUCGCAGUCUGCAACUCGACUGCGUGAAGCUGGAAUCGCUAGUAAUCGCGGAUCAGCAUGCCGCGGUGAAUACGUUCCCGGGCCUUGUACACACCGCCCGUCACACCACGAGAGUUUGCAACACCCGAAGUCGGUGAGGUUAACCUUUAUGGAGCCA